CUGUCUGCGCCCGAUCUCGUCUGAUCUCGGAAGCUAAGCAG
This is a ribosomal RNA of Sinocyclocheilus rhinocerous, 41 nucleotides long. NCBI's taxonomy places the organism in Eukaryota, Metazoa, Chordata, Actinopteri, Cypriniformes, Cyprinidae. The record is from Ensembl.